AUUGAACGCUGGCGGCAGGCUUAACACAUGCAAGUCGAGCGGAGAUGAGGUGCUUGCACCUUAUCUUAGCGGCGGACGGGUGAGUAAUGCUUAGGAAUCUGCCUAUUAGUGGGGGACAACAUUUCGAAAGGAAUGCUAAUACCGCAUACGCCCUACGGGGGAAAGCAGGGGAUCUUCGGACCUUGCGCUAAUAGAUGAGCCUAAGUCGGAUUAGCUAGUUGGUGGGGUAAAGGCCUACCAAGGCGACGAUCUGUAGCGGGUCUGAGAGGAUGAUCCGCCACACUGGGACUGAGACACGGCCCAGACUCCUACGGGAGGCAGCAGUGGGGAAUAUUGGACAAUGGGGGGAACCCUGAUCCAGCCAUGCCGCGUGUGUGAAGAAGGCCUUUUGGUUGUAAAGCACUUUAAGCGAGGAGGAGGAGCUCUAGAUUAAUACUCUAGAUGCUUGGACGUUACUCGCAGAAUAAGCACCGGCUAACUCUGUG
RNAcentral lists this ribosomal RNA (485 nucleotides) under uncultured bacterium. RNAcentral describes it as "bacterial SSU rRNA". It matches the Rfam family "Bacterial small subunit ribosomal RNA", at positions 30 to 507 of the family's 1533-position model. The record is from RNAcentral.